This 303-nucleotide ribosomal RNA is filed under the name uncultured bacterium. RNAcentral's name for it is "partial 16S ribosomal RNA". It matches the Rfam family "Bacterial small subunit ribosomal RNA", at positions 507 to 807 of the family's 1533-position model. The record is from RNAcentral.
AGCAGUCGCCACGGUAAUACGGAGGGUGCGAGCGUUAAUCGGAAUAACUGGGCGUAAAGGGCACGCAGGCGGUUAUUUAAGUGAGGUGUGAAAGCCCCGGGCUUAACCUGGGAAUUGCAUUUCAGACUGGGUAAUUAGAGUACUUUAGGGAGGGGUAGAAUUCCACGUGUAGCGGUGAAAUGCGUAGAGAUGUGGAGGAAUACCGAAGGCGAAGGCAGCCCCUUGGGAAUGUACUGACGCUCAUGUGCGAAAGCGUGGGGAGCAAACAGGAUUAGAUACCCCGGUAGUCCCUGUCUCUUAUAC